RNAcentral lists this ribosomal RNA (324 nucleotides) under uncultured bacterium. RNAcentral describes it as "bacterial SSU rRNA". It matches the Rfam family "Bacterial small subunit ribosomal RNA", at positions 28 to 334 of the family's 1533-position model. The record is from RNAcentral.
GAUGAACGCUGGCGGCGUGCUUAAUACAUGCAAGUCGAGCGAAGCACUUUAACGGAAUUCUUCGGAAGGAAGGUAAAGUGACUGAGCGGCGGACGGGUGAGUAACGCGUGGGUAACCUGCCUUAUACAGGGGGAUAACAGUUAGAAAUGGCUGCUAAUACCGCAUAAGACCACAGCACCGCAUGGUGCAGGGGUAAAAACUCCGGUGGUAUGAGAUGGACCCGCGUCUGAUUAGCUAGUUGGUGGGGUAACGGCCUACCAAGGCGACGAUCAGUAGCCGACCUGAGAGGGUGACCGGCCACAUUGGGACUGAGACACGGCCCAA